UCCGGUAUGGUGUAGUGGCUAACAUUUCGCGCUCUCAUAACCUGAGGGAUUCGUUCCGCGGAGCCCAGGGUUCGAUUCCCUGUACCGGAG
Molecule: transfer RNA, 90 nt
Filed under: Fusarium euwallaceae
Lineage: Eukaryota; Fungi; Ascomycota; Sordariomycetes; Hypocreales; Nectriaceae
Also listed under: 2 other names
Description: tRNA-Glu
Rfam family: tRNA
About the family: Transfer RNA (tRNA) molecules are approximately 80 nucleotides in length. Their secondary structure includes four short double-helical elements and three loops (D, anti-codon, and T loops).
Source: RNAcentral